This 21-nucleotide non-coding RNA is filed under the name Caenorhabditis elegans. The record is from RNAcentral. Lineage: Eukaryota; Metazoa; Nematoda; Chromadorea; Rhabditida; Rhabditidae.
UUUCACAUCUGUUCAGAUUGG